Micropterus salmoides (largemouth bass) is the source of this 1366-nucleotide long non-coding RNA. RefSeq lists it as uncharacterized. Lineage: Eukaryota; Metazoa; Chordata; Actinopteri; Centrarchiformes; Centrarchidae. The transcript has 3 exons. The record is from RefSeq and is a predicted model, not a curated record.
GUUCCUCUUUUAGUUCCUGUACUGGAACAUUUUGGUUAAAGGGCUUUAUGUUUUUCUUUAAUGGGUUUAAUCUUCUGAACUGUAUGUUUUUCAGAACCUCCUGUGGAAUCUGAGUAUACUACUGUCACAAAACCUGACGGAGUAUCUGAGGAGAUCAGAGAGGAGGACAGACGAGGUUUACACUUGUGGCAAAUAUGCCAAACCAAAUGGAGUUGAGACCACAGACGACUAUAGCUUUGUCACUGCGGCAAGUUCUAAGAAGACAACUGAAGAUGACUCGAAUAAACUCACCUAUUUUCAGGUGGAUUUUUCCAAUGGUACAGCUGCCUUGCUCAACAGCGCCCGCUGUGGUCAUGCAGAUAAUGUCGUCUACUCUGUGCCUCAGGUAGAAGCUAGCUCGGAUGGCAGCCAUGCUGAAGACGCUUCUCCUCCUCCUCUGUACUCUGCUGUUAUUUUACAUCAGCAAUAGCUCCAUGUAGGCCAACAGGUGAACACACAAUACAAUAAAAAUUCAAAUUAGAGCUACUUUUACUGCUUUAUUUAGUUCAGCUUAUCUUAAAUAUUUUGGUUAAGUAAAUCGUUUGUAAAGAACAAGUUACUGUCAAAGGUCCAGUGUGUAAUAUUUCUGAGGAUCUAGUGACAGAAAUGCAAUAUUACAUCCAUAACUAUGUUUCCAGGCCUUACAUAAUGAAACGAAUGAGCCAUUUUUAUCUACAUAACCGCGGGUCCCCCCUGAAAUGGACAUCGCCAUCUUGCACUGCUGUGUUUCUUGGCCAAAACGAACAAACAGCGCUACAAAGCGCGUUUCGUCAUUACGUUCUUCUUCUUGUAGAAUUCUGGAAAUGCAGACACUGAUCACUACAUUGAAUACGUAUGUUCAAAGAAGAAGAAGUAGUAGUAAAAAUAUACAGCAGGGGUGGGUUGUAGUUUCAUUUUGCAAAACUUCUUUUGCUCAGAUGGCCUUUUCUGUGAAAGGAGCAAAGUGUUGGAACUUGCUACCUAAACACUUAAACUGCUUCAAACUUCACCACUUUUAAAAGAGAGGCCAAGUCCUGAUUGGUUCACCCACACACUUGUACUCUCGCCUAGUCUAUUGUAGUUAGUGAUACAUGUUUUUCAUUGCAUUUUGAUUUACUCAUUUUACCUCCUUUUAUCUUGUGUUAUGCUGUAAUGUAUUGUAUUAUACUUUUUUCUCUUUCUUUUUCAUCACUGUUUUAAUGUUUUAUUUCUUUAAAAGCCUUUCUAGGGACAGCUGUUCCAAAUUAGCAACUGCUGAAAACACUAUGGUGCACACAUAGGAUUGCUGUUUUCAGUUUUAUCUAUGUUAGAUGUAUCGGUCCCAAAUAAAUAAACCAUAAAUAACUAA